RNAcentral lists this ribosomal RNA (407 nucleotides) under uncultured Lactococcus sp. RNAcentral describes it as "bacterial SSU rRNA". It matches the Rfam family "Bacterial small subunit ribosomal RNA", at positions 114 to 500 of the family's 1533-position model. Lineage: Bacteria; Bacillati; Bacillota; Bacilli; Lactobacillales; Streptococcaceae. The record is from RNAcentral.
CGCGUGGGGAAUCUGCCUUUGAGCGGGGGACGAACAUUUGGUAAACGAAAUGCUAAUACCGCAUAAAAACUUUAAAACAACAAGUUUUAAGUUUUGUAAAGAAUGCAAUUGCAUCACUCAAAGAUGAUCCCGCGUUGUAUUAGCUAGUUGGUGAGGUAAAGGCUCACCAAAGCGAUGAUACAUAGCCGACCUGAGAGGGUGAUCGGCCACAUUGGGACUGAGACACGGCCCAAACUCCUACGGGAGGCAGCAGUAGGGAAUCUUCGGCAAUGGACGAAAGUCUGACCGAGCAACGCCGCGUGAGUGAAGAAGGUUUUCGGAUCGUAAAACUCUGUUGGUAGAGAAGAACGUUGGUGAGAGUGGAAAGCUCAUCAAGUGACGGUAACUACCCAGAAAGGGACGGCUAA